UGGUGGGUAGUUUGACUGGGGCGGUCUCCUCCUAAAGAGUAACGGAGGAGCACGAAGGUUGGCUAAUCCUGGUCGGACAUCAGGAGGUUAGUGCAAUGGCAUAAGCCAGCUUGACUGCGAGCGUGACGGCGCGAGCAGGUGCGAAAGCAGGUCAUAGUGAUCCGGUGGUUCUGAAUGGAAGGGCCAUCGCUCAACGGAUAAAAGGUACUCCGGGGAUAACAGGCUGAUACCGCCCAAGAGUUCAUAUCGACGGCGGUGUUUGGCACCUCGAUGUCGGCUCAUCACAUCCUGGGGCUGAAGUAGGUCCCAAGGGUAUGGCUGUUCGCCAUUUAAAGUGGUACGCGAGCUGGGUUUAGAACGUCGUGAGACAGUUCGGUCCCUAUCUGCCGUGGGCGCUGGAGAACUGAGGGGGGCUGCUCCUAGUACGAGAGGACCGGAGUGGACGCAUCACUGGUGUUCGGGUUGUCAUGCCAAUGGCACUGCCCGGUAGCUAAAUGCGGAAGAGAUAAGUGCUGAAAGCAUCUAAGCACGAAACUUGCCCCGAGAUGAGUUCUCCCUGACUCCUUGAGAGUCCUGAAGGAACGUUGAAGACGACGA
This 597-nucleotide ribosomal RNA is filed under the name Escherichia coli. RNAcentral's name for it is "partial 23S ribosomal RNA". It matches the Rfam family "Bacterial large subunit ribosomal RNA", at positions 2259 to 2850 of the family's 2925-position model. Lineage: Bacteria; Pseudomonadati; Pseudomonadota; Gammaproteobacteria; Enterobacterales; Enterobacteriaceae. The record is from RNAcentral.